This 155-nucleotide small nuclear RNA is filed under the name Homo sapiens (human). Lineage: Eukaryota; Metazoa; Chordata; Mammalia; Primates; Hominidae. The record is from RNAcentral.
UCCCCAUCUCUACAAAAAAGUUAGCCAGGCAUGUUGGUUUGCAUCUGUAGUCCUGGCCAAUUGGGAGGCUGAGAUGGGAAGAUCACUUGAGCCCAGGAGUGUGAGGUUGCAGUGAGCUAUGAAUGCACCACUACACUCCAGCGUGGGCAACAGAG